Molecule: unclassified non-coding RNA, 201 nt
Filed under: plant metagenome
Description: partial contains small subunit ribosomal RNA, internal transcribed spacer 1, and 5.8S ribosomal RNA
Source: RNAcentral
UCUCCGUUGGUGAACCAGCGGAGGGAUCAUUAUCGAGUUUAUAACUCCCAAACCCUAUGUGAACUUACCACUUGUUGCUUCGGCGCGCGCUUCGGUGCCGCCGAGGACACUUAAACUCUUUGUUUCUAUAAGCAUUUCUGAGUGGCCGAAAGGCGAGAUACAAAUGAAUCAAAACUUUCAACAACGGAUCUCUUGGUUCUG